RNAcentral lists this transfer RNA (73 nucleotides) under Ailuropoda melanoleuca (giant panda). It matches the Rfam family "tRNA". Rfam says of the family: Transfer RNA (tRNA) molecules are approximately 80 nucleotides in length. Their secondary structure includes four short double-helical elements and three loops (D, anti-codon, and T loops). Lineage: Eukaryota; Metazoa; Chordata; Mammalia; Carnivora; Ursidae. The record is from Rfam by way of RNAcentral.
ACGUGGCUGGCUCUGCCAGUAGAGCGUGUGACUCUUGAUCUCAGGGUCAUGAGUUCAAGUCCCAUGCUGGGGG